Molecule: non-coding RNA, 65 nt
Organism: Picea glauca (white spruce)
Lineage: Eukaryota; Viridiplantae; Streptophyta; Pinopsida; Pinales; Pinaceae
Source: Rfam
GAGAUGUGAUCAAGAUCAGACUACCAAAUCCUACAGCAUUUGAGGUCUCUACUUGCUCAAUAUCA